RNAcentral lists this long non-coding RNA (382 nucleotides) under Chrysolophus pictus (golden pheasant). RNAcentral describes it as "lncRNA (ENSCPIG00010008930.1)". Lineage: Eukaryota; Metazoa; Chordata; Aves; Galliformes; Phasianidae. The record is from RNAcentral.
AUGAUGGCCUCCAUAGAAUCUCAGAGUUACACAGAAGCCCUUAACCAUCCUGCAAUAGUGUCUGACAAAUCCAUCGACGCUAACCCUGCUUUGCUGAGACCCAACACGCAGGUGGAUCCUUCCUUUCAACGCUGUUUAGUGUCCUCAAGUCCAGCCUCAAGUAACAGUUCUGUGCCAGUGGGAGAACAGAAAGGUAGGAAAUGAUUGUCUGAUCUGAAUGUUUAGUUCUCAUUACUGUAGCUUCCAGCCAGUGUGUUACAUCUAAAUCUUCGUUGCAGACCAUUUGGCCACCAACUUUGAUGUGUAACCUGUCAUGAUGUUGUUGCCCACCAUCUGGAAAUUAUCUCUUUCAAAGAUGUUGCUUGUAUGUCUGAGAUGGAAC